CUUGGUUCUUUUAUUUCUCUUUUAAUUUUUAAUUUUUCCCUUUUUUCCAGAUUACAUAUUGAUACAAUUUUCAAUAACCAGUUUCUGACAUUUUGUGAUCCAUGUUUUCUCUGGCCUUCCCCUUCCCCUAGGAUGGCAGGUCAAGACAUCAACCACUUAGCAGCUCUUGGUAAUGUGGUCAGCUAUUGGUUGGAUUCCUCCUCUCUGACGUGUCAGAUAAUGAAAUCCAUCUUAGAGCAAGGCGAUGGAGACUAUUCCAGAAGAAAGAGAUUGAAAGAUCCAAGACCGAAACCUAAAUGAAACAACCAGGAGUCUAAGAUGAAAAGCAGAAAUUUCUUCAGAAGUUGAGGCCUCAUUUUAGCAACUCCAUACAUCACCAAACAGAACCUGAUUGUAAUGUAUGUGUACAGGAGGGGAAUAAUCUGUUUGAAACAUACAGGGAGGCAUGAGAAUGAACCUCGUUGGCAGUAUUGUGAAACGUACCAGCCUCUUUUCAAAAUAUAGGUUGCCUAUAUUAACAACUACAGGAUAUGCUAAAUUUCCAUAAGAAGAUAAAAAAAGUUAAGAUUUUUUUUAAUCUUAAGUUUUCAGAUUCCCAGAAAUCUAUCUAUUGACCACACACGGGGCUUCAUAUGUCCUGAGUUAAUAAUCCUUCUUUUAAAUUAUCUCAAAGGACCUUUCUUCUUUCUGAUCCUAUCAUUUUUUUUUCUGAAGGAAUAUCUUAAGGAGACCUAGAUUCAAAUACCAUCUCAAAAACUGUGUAAUACUUUACAAGUCAUUUUCUCUGCUUGAGCCUUAAUUUUCUUAUUUUAAAAAAUGGAAAUAAUAAUAGUACCUGCUGACUCUGUUCCAUUAAGUUCAAAAAUUAUGAUUGAUGAUCCUAUCUAAUAUUAUUUAAAUCAUUAAUUUAUGAUGUCUAUUCAGUCUGGCUGAUGAAUUAUUUGAGGCUGCACAUGAUGACCAUUGUCUACCAUAUCUUCAAUACUUUGGAAAUGGCAGCACAGUGUAAUAGAAGGAAAAUAGCUUGAAUUCCUUUACCUGAGUUUGAAUCUUGCCUCUGCCAUGUGCUUCUUAUCUCAAUAAGCCAUUCAUUGAAUCCCACCUCCUCACAUCUAAAAUAAAAUGUUUUGGAUACAGAACA
RNAcentral lists this long non-coding RNA (1141 nucleotides) under Monodelphis domestica (gray short-tailed opossum). RNAcentral's name for it is "lncRNA (ENSMODG00000051473.1)". The record is from RNAcentral. Lineage: Eukaryota; Metazoa; Chordata; Mammalia; Didelphimorphia; Didelphidae.